This 1343-nucleotide ribosomal RNA is filed under the name uncultured bacterium. Its description in RNAcentral is "16S ribosomal RNA". It matches the Rfam family "Bacterial small subunit ribosomal RNA", at positions 28 to 1378 of the family's 1533-position model. The record is from RNAcentral.
GACGAACGUUGGCGGCGUGCUUAACACAUGCAAGUCGAACGGAAAGGCCCUGCUUUUGUGGGGUGCUCGAGUGGCGAACGGUUGAGUAACACGUGAGUAACCUGCCCUUGACUUUGGGAUAACUUCAGGAAACUGGGGCUAAUACCGGAUAGGAGCUCCUGCUGCAUGGUGGGGGUUGGAAAGUUUCGGCGGUUGGGGAUGGACUCGCGGCUUAUCAGCUUGUUGGUGGGGUAGUGGCUUACCAAGGCUUUGACGGGUAGCCGGCCUGAGAGGGUGACCGGCCACAUUGGGACUGAGAUACGGCCCAGACUCCUACGGGAGGCAGCAGUGGGGAAUAUUGCACAAUGGGCGGAAGCCUGAUGCAGCAACGCCGCGUGCGGGAUGACGGCCUUCGGGUUGUAAACCGCUUUCGCCUGUGACGAAGCGUGAGUGACGGUAAUGGGUAAAGAAGCACCGGCUAACUACGUGCCAGCAGCCGCGGUGAUACGUAGGGUGCGAGCGUUGUCCGGAUUUAUUGGGCGUAAAGGGCUCGUAGGUGGUUGAUCGCGUCGGAAGUGUAAUCUUGGGGCUUAACCCUGAGCGUGCUUUCGAUACGGGUUGACUUGAGGAAGGUAGGGGAGAAUGGAAUUCCUGGUGGAGCGGUGGAAUGCGCAGAUAUCAGGAGGAACACCAGUGGCGAAGGCGGUUCUCUGGGCCUUUCCUGACGCUGAGGAGCGAAAGCGUGGGGAGCGAACAGGCUUAGAUACCCUGGUAGUCCACGCUGUAAACGGUGGGUACUAGGUGUGGGGUCCAUUCCACGGGUUCCGUGCCGUAGCUAACGCUUUAAGUACCCCGCCUGGGGAGUACGGCCGCAAGGCUAAAACUCAAAGGAAUUGACGGGGCCCCGCACAAGCGGCGGAGCAUGCGGAUUAAUUCGAUGCAACGCGUAGAACCUUACCUGGGUUUGACAUGGAUCGGGAGUGCUCAGAGAUGGGUGUGCCUCUUUUGGGGUCGGUUCACAGGUGGUGCAUGCCUGUCGUCAGCUCGUGUCGUGAGAUGUUGGGUUAAGUCCCGCAACGAGCGCAACCCUUGUUCACUGUUGCCAGCACGUUAUGGUGGGGACUCAGUGGAGACCGCCGGGGUCAACUCGGAGGAAGGUGGGGAUGACGUCAAGUCCUCAUGCCCCUUAUGUCCAGGGCUUCACGCAUGCUACAAUGGCUGGUACAGAGAGUGGCGAGCCUGUGAGGGUGAGCGAAUCUCGGAAAGCCGGUCUCAGUUCGGAUUGGGGUCUGCAACUCGACCUCAUGAAGUCGGAGUCGCUAGUAAUCGCAGAUCAGCAACGCUGCGGUGAAUACGUUCCCGGG